Long non-coding RNA from Oryctolagus cuniculus (rabbit), 1636 nucleotides. The record is from Ensembl. NCBI's taxonomy places the organism in Eukaryota, Metazoa, Chordata, Mammalia, Lagomorpha, Leporidae.
GCCCAGAGGCAGUAGAGCAGGGCAAUCCAUGGGCACCAACAGAGGCAACGAAGUUCUUCCCAGGCAGCAGCUGCUCCCCGGGGACAGAGCAGCCACGGGGUCCUGUCCAUUGGGCAGUGAGGACGAGGGACAUCAACACCUCUUCUGGAAGGGUGAGCAUUCUGAAGCUGGGCGUCUCCGAUUCCAUCUCCUGUGGAUGGACAAUCAUGGUGACCUGGGGGCAGCCAGAGAAGCCACGGGGUCCUGUCCUUGGGGCAGCGAGGAUGAGAGACAUCAACCUUUUCUGGAUGGGCAAGGAUUCUGAAACUGGGCAUCUUGGAGUCAGUCUUCCAAUGGAUGAUCAUGGUGACCUGGGGGCAGCCAGAGUAGCCAUGGGGACCUGUCCUUGGGGCAGCGAGGACGAGGGACAUCAACACCUCUUCUGUAAGGGCGAGGAUUCUGAAGCUGGGUGUCGGAGUCCAUUUCCCGGUGGUGAUCUGGGGGCAGCCAGAGAAGCCACGGCGUCCUGUCCUUGGGGCAGCGAGCAUGAGGGACAUUCAACACCUGUUUGGAAAGGGCGAGGAUUCUGUAGCUGGCCAUCUCGGAGUCCAUCUUCCUGUGGACGGAUGAUCCUGUUGACCUGGGGGCAGCCAGAGAAGACAUGGGGUCCUGGCUGUGGGGUAGCAAGGACGAGGGACAUUCAACCCCUUUUCUGGAAGGGCGAGGAUUCUGAAACUGGGCAUCUUGGAGUCCACCUUCCUGUGGACGAUCGUGGUGACCUGGGGGCAGCCAGAGAAGCCAUGAUGUCCUGUCAUUGGGGCAGCGAGGACGAAGGACACUAUACGCUUGAUGACCCCAGAGGCAAGGAUUCUGAAGCUGCAAGUCUUGGAGUCUGUCUUCCCGUGGAAGAUCGUGGAGACGUGGGUCACCAGAGACAUAGCUCUGCUGCAGCAUCUGCUGUGUAGACCCUUUGGUGGCCCCAGGACCCUCUUUCACUUCAGAGGUCAGAGGGACAAGCUGACAAGGGGAGAACACGGCCCUGUCAUGCCAUGGCCUGGUCCCUGGUUCCUGUCCCUUUGAGACCCCAGGGCACUUUGGUGAAGAAGCCCACAGACCAGCAGGGAGGUGGCAGGUGCCUCGUCCAAGCCAGAGGAGAUGCCCACCCUGGGGCUCGGUCCCCCGAGGACAGACAUGGGGAGGCAGUGCUGGCAGCACAGAGCUGUAGUGAUGCCAGCGCACCUGCCAGGCCCCAGCACAGCCCCGGCUGCUGGCCUGGUCUACAGCUCAUGGGCAGGGACCUCCAAGCCCGGCCGCCACAGAGGGGUCCCCUCUCUCACGUGCUCACCCCCCAUCGCGCACCAUGCAGGACCUUGCAUGCAAGACUCAUGGGGCCACUGUGGCCCUCAGAGACACCCAUCUCCCAGGGGGGCACAUUGAGGCUCCGAGGCCUGAAGGGCCCGACUCGAAGGUCAGGGCUCUCAGGAGGGACGGGAUCCGGACGUCUGAGUCUCAGAGGAGCAGAUGCACUCACCUCCAUCCAGGGGCCUCCGGCACAGGAGCCAUGGCCUGCAGGAAGGACAGAAACGCCCAGGACACGGUCCUCCUGCACCUGGCAGCCCCACCUCCACCUGCCCAGGGUCUGCGCUACCUUGUCCAG